UUGAUUUACUAAUAUUAGUUUCAAAUUGAGUCACAGCACGAUCGUGGGCUAGUAUAUUAGCUGUCAGGAGUGGGAAAAGCCGUUGAGACCGAAUUAGUUCCAAAUUAAGCCGCAGCACGAUUUUGCGCUAGUAUAUAAUAUUAUAU
Aricia agestis (brown argus) is the source of this 146-nucleotide long non-coding RNA. RefSeq lists it as uncharacterized. The record is from RefSeq and is a predicted model, not a curated record. NCBI's taxonomy places the organism in Eukaryota, Metazoa, Arthropoda, Insecta, Lepidoptera, Lycaenidae. The transcript has 3 exons.